UGCAAGUCGAACGGGGUCCACCGAGUAGCAAUACGAGGGAAGACCUAGUGGCGAACGGGUGCGUAACACGUGAGAAACCAACCCCGGUCUUUGGGAUAACAGGCGGAAACGCCUGCUAAUACCGAAUAACGUCGUUUCCUCGCAUGGGGAGAUGACGAAAGGGCUACCGGAUCGGGACGGUCUCGCGGCCUAUCAGCUUGUUGGGGAGGUAACGGCUCACCAAGGCAUCGACGGGUAGCUGGUCUGAGAGGAUGAUCAGCCACACUGGGACUGAGACACGGCCCAGACUCCUACGGGAGGCAGCAGUGGGGAAUCUUGCGCAAUGGGCGAAAGCCUGACGCAGCAACGCCGCGUGCGGGAUGAAGGCCUUCGGGUUGUAAACCGCUUUUAACAGGAACGAAAAUGACGGUACCUGCAGAAUAAGGUGCGGCCAACUACGUGCCAGCAGCCGCGGUGACACGUAGGCACCAAGCGUUGUCCGGAUUUAUUGGGCGUAAAGAGCUCGUAGGCGGUUCAGGUAGUCGGGUGUGAAAACUCUGGGCUCAACCCAGAGACGCCACCCGAUACUCCUGUGACUAGAGUUCGGUAGGGGAGCGGGGAAUUCCUAGUGUAGCGGUGAAAUGCGCAGAUAUUAGGAGGAACACCGGUGGCGAAGGCGCCGCUCUGGGCCGAUACUGACGCUGAGGAGCGAAAGCGUGGG
RNAcentral lists this ribosomal RNA (700 nucleotides) under uncultured bacterium. RNAcentral's name for it is "bacterial SSU rRNA". It matches the Rfam family "Bacterial small subunit ribosomal RNA", at positions 56 to 765 of the family's 1533-position model. The record is from RNAcentral.